This 253-nucleotide ribosomal RNA is filed under the name uncultured bacterium. RNAcentral describes it as "partial 16S ribosomal RNA". It matches the Rfam family "Bacterial small subunit ribosomal RNA", at positions 524 to 776 of the family's 1533-position model. The record is from RNAcentral.
UACGUAGGGUGCGAGCGUUAAUCGGAAUUACUGGGCGUAAAGCGUGCGCAGGCGGUCUGUUAAGACAGGUGUGAAAUCCCCGGGCUUAACCUGGGAACUGCAUUUGUGACUGCAUAGCUAGAGUACGGUAGAGGGGGAUGGAAUUCCGCGUGUAGCAGUGAAAUGCGUAGAUAUGCGGAGGAACACCGAUGGCGAAGGCAAUCCCCUGGACCUGUACUGACGCUCAUGCACGAAAGCGUGGGGAGCAAACAGG